Molecule: ribosomal RNA, 479 nt
Filed under: uncultured bacterium
Lineage: Bacteria
Description: partial 16S ribosomal RNA
Rfam family: Bacterial small subunit ribosomal RNA
Source: RNAcentral
GAUGAACGCUGGCGGCGUGCUUAACACAUGCAAGUCUAUCGCGAAGUUUUGAUAGGAUUCUUUGGAUGAAAUUUAAAAUGGAAAGCGGCGGACGGGUGAGUCACGCGUAGCCAACCUACCCCACACAAACGGCUAGUAUUUGGAAACGAAUAUUAAUACAUUAUGAUACUUAACUAGUGCAUGCUAGGUAGGACAAAGAUUUAUCGGUAUGGGAUGUGCUUGCGUCUGAUUAGCUAGAUGGUGGGGUAACUGCUCACCAGGGCGACGAUCAGUAGCCGACCUGAGAGGGUGAACGGCCACAUGGGAACAGAGACGCGGCCCAAACUCCUGCGAGGGGGAGGAGUGGAGAAUAUUGCACAAUGGGGAAAACCCUGAUGGAGCAACGCUGCGUGAGCGAUGAAGGCCUUUGGGUCGAAAAGUUCUGUUCUAGGUGAUGAAAACUGACAGUAACCUAAGAGAAAGCCCCGGCUAACUCCGUG